UCUGUUGAAAUGUAAUCACCA
This 21-nucleotide microRNA is filed under the name Pongo pygmaeus (Bornean orangutan). Its description in RNAcentral is "ppy-miR-1267". Lineage: Eukaryota; Metazoa; Chordata; Mammalia; Primates; Hominidae. The record is from miRBase by way of RNAcentral.